GGGCCGGUAGCUCAGUGGUAGAGCAGGAGACUUUUAAUCUCUUGGUCGUGGGUUCGACCCCCACCCGGCUCA
RNAcentral lists this transfer RNA (72 nucleotides) under Candidatus Daviesbacteria bacterium. RNAcentral's name for it is "tRNA-Lys". It matches the Rfam family "tRNA". From Rfam's summary of the family: Transfer RNA (tRNA) molecules are approximately 80 nucleotides in length. The record is from RNAcentral. Lineage: Bacteria; Candidatus Daviesiibacteriota.